Molecule: long non-coding RNA, 2724 nt
Organism: Solanum tuberosum (potato)
Lineage: Eukaryota; Viridiplantae; Streptophyta; Magnoliopsida; Solanales; Solanaceae
Exons: 3
Source: RefSeq, a predicted model, not a curated record
AACAAAUUUAACUCUCCCUCCCAUUUUUAUUUGGCCAAAAUGAAAAUUAAUAAACAAAAAAAAAACACUCCAAGUCUCUGAAAGAGAUUCUGGUUGCCCUAGAUCUGAAAGUUUUCAAGGCUUUGUAAAAAUGGAUUCCCCCCCAAAUUAACAGGGACAUAGCAAUGAAGAUUAUAUCCUAAAGCUUCAUCACAUCGAAAGGGUUUUGUGGGAAUAGAGUUUAUCAGGUAUAACUACCUUUAAAAGUCUGAAUUUGUUGCAUCUGGGCUUAUGGCGUGGGAUGGAUUUUUAUUUUUUUGUGUUGUUGAUUUUUGGGAUUCCAGAUUGUAGUAGUAUUACACCCAUUAGUUGAUUCUUUGUCGUGGGCUAUAGUGAUUAAUUAAGCGUGAUAAUUUCUGUUUUUCCUUAAACUGAUAAGCUGAUUCGGAUUGAAAUCGUCCAUGAGAAUGUAGAUUUUCAUGUCAUGCCUAUUAGCAGUAUGUUGUUUCUGUUUUGCCUUUACUAGUUUACGGGCCCAAUGUUAGAAUGAAUUUUGUGUGCUUAAUUUUCACACAUAGACAUACAUAUGCAGAUGAUAGAUAUGAAAAUUAACAAAAAAGAGAUGCACAUCUACGUAGAAGAGUGACCACAUUAGCAGUAAUGAUAGUUGUUUUAUGGAUAUAUUAGAACUAAUCCAUUUGGAAAAAACAUUCCUAAAUAUAUGAACAAAUGACACCCCAUUAGAUCAAAGUUGAAACUUUUAAUGUUGUGAUAGCUCAUUGAUUGUGCAAGAUGAAAUGUUCCAGCAAGUAGAGUCACUGAUGUCUAAAGUACAAUUAUGUUUUUAUAACUUGAUUCUGGAAGGAUGAAAGAGAACUUCUAUUUUACCCCGUUGUAGGUCAUACACAUAUAUUUUACCCAGUUGCAGGUCAUACACUUCUAUUACUAGAUGGUGCUUGAUUUUUUUUUAAGUGUCUGGACAUGCACUAUUCAUCUGAUGUUUUUGCAAAGGCCAAGGGAUCAACAUAAACUACUUCAGUGUGCGCAUUCAUGUGAACCAACGUUGUCUACUUGUGCAAAUAACCUAUGGAUAAGACAAUAUUGAAACACACAAAAGAUGGUAUUACAUAAUACCCUUCUUCAUGUUUCCUAGAGAUUGUUAACUGUCACAAGUUCAGAACCAAGUUUUCUUUUCAUCUUAACUUUCUGGUUAUACUUAUUUAGGCAGAAUAACUAAAAACAGAACGAUCACUAGUGCAAUAAAUAAUAGAUCAAUCACUAGAGCAAUAGAUAAUAGAACAAUCUUAACUUUCCCCUUCUCCUAUGGUGAAAAUAGAUGCUAUUUAUUGGAUGGUUGAUGAAAAGCAUCCUGCAAAUGAUGGAGAUAAUCCACCUGUAACGUGUUGUGGAGUGUAUGUGAUUGUAUUUGACAUAAAAAAGGAAAAUUUUCAUGUGGUAUCACAUCCAGUAGAGAGAUGUGAUAGCCAGAUUUUAAAAGAAAAAUAUGCUCGGAAGCAUAUCUUAGAAACGGAAGGUUUGGUGUCAUUCUGCGCGAUAACUUGUCAUGUUGAAGACAUAGUAAAUAUGAAAUUCUGGGAUUUGGAAGAUCAAUACUAUUGGAGUCAACGUAGUGAGACAAUCAUUCUUGAUGGUAUGGGUGUUAGGCGAUUUCCCUUUACUGAUAGUAUGCAUUUUAAUGUAAAAGUUGUUGGCACAUUAAAUGGGGAAUUGAUAAUUAGUUGGUUGUGGAGAGUAGUCUUUGCAUACCAUCUCUGGCUAAGAACUGUACGAAAACUGGAGUUUCAUAGCAUGACAGGCUCCCAGUUUUGCUCUUGUGGCUUUACAGGUAAUCUGCAAUUAGAUAUAUGAUGCCAAGUUUUGCUCUUGUUUUGCUGACCCUUUUACUCUAGUUUUCACCAUUCUUAAAUUUUAAUGUUUGUAAGCAUUCUACAGCUGCUCUCUGCACCUCUGAAAAAACAAAUUCAAUCAACUCAACAGGUGGAGGGAUACAACCUUCAAUGCUAUAGUCACAAAAUAUAGAUAAAAUGAAAUCAUGCAUCUACAAGCAUAUUCAUACUGAACUGCAUGAAUAGUUCAAAAUUAUGAGCAUAACUUCUCACAAAGAGGAAUGGUGAUAGCUGAGGCCGAAGGACAUCAUAAUUUAGGUAUCUUAUGUACAAAAUUCUGCAAAACUUGAUGAAUAGCACACUGGCAAAUUGCAGUCAGACUGUCGAGACAUGAAAUCGGUCUCCAGCAGUCCAAGUCAUUACAUUUCCGAAAAGAAAUAGAUUUUUGGGAUCAAAACUAUUUCCGCUAUCCUACUAAUCUUGAAGUUUGAGCAGAAAAUAACAUCAGAUGUUGAUCAUCUUGUUCAGGUAUUGUUGGUCACCCAGAAAAAAUCAUCACAUUUUCUAAUGUUAAAUCUGUUAGCUGCAAUAACUUGUGUUUUGAAGAAGAAGCGCUUGAUUGACGGGAUUUUCUUGUCUUCAGUGGGUUGCAUGACCAUAUGACCCAUAGGGGAGUUUCCAACAAAAUAUGUAUGUCAAAGAUCUCCAAUGAAAGAUUCUAGGGUAGACUCAGCACACUUGCGCAAAUUCACUUCAGACUCAUCAACUUUUUUCAGGGAAAUGCCAGACAGGCUUUCCACUACCUUGUGUGGUACCAUGGGAAAGAAGAUAGAGUCUCAUCUCUGAUGCUAGAUGUAAUGACCGUUGAUAAUUAGUCUUAUCUGCUUUUGAGAUUCGA